CCUACGGGGUGCAGCAGUAGGGAAUUUUCGGCAAUGGGGGGAACCCUGACCGAGCAACGCCGCGUGAACGAAGAAGUUAUUCGUAAUGUAAAGCUCUAUCAGCAGGGAAGAAAAUGACGGUACCUGACUAAGAAGCCCCGGCUAACUACGUGCCAGCAGCCGCGGUAAUACGUAGGGGGCAAGCGUUAUCCGGAUUUACUGGGUGUAAAGGGAGCGUAGACGGCGCUGCAAGUCCGGAGUGAAAGCCCAUGGCUUAACCAUGGUACUGCUCUGGAAACUGUGGAGCUUGAGUGCGGGAGGGGCAGGCGGAAUUCCUAGUGUAGCGGUGAAAUGCGUAGAUAUUAGGAGGAACACCGGCGGCGAAGGCGGCCUGCUGGACCGUAACUGACGUUGAGGCUCGAAAGCGUGGGGAGCAAACAGGAUUAGAUACCCUUGUAGUC
RNAcentral lists this ribosomal RNA (440 nucleotides) under uncultured bacterium. RNAcentral's name for it is "partial 16S ribosomal RNA". It matches the Rfam family "Bacterial small subunit ribosomal RNA", at positions 338 to 795 of the family's 1533-position model. The record is from RNAcentral.